AACUUUGUAGCUCAGCUGGUAGAGCAUUUGCGACAUUUGGGCAUGUCGUUUCUGUCGCUGGUUCGAAUCCAGUCGAAAUCC
Molecule: non-coding RNA, 81 nt
Organism: Paragonimus skrjabini miyazakii
Lineage: Eukaryota; Metazoa; Platyhelminthes; Trematoda; Plagiorchiida; Troglotrematidae
Source: the annotation of a GenBank genome assembly